This 17-nucleotide small RNA is filed under the name Arabidopsis thaliana (thale cress). Its description in RNAcentral is "ATSL066260". The record is from RNAcentral. Lineage: Eukaryota; Viridiplantae; Streptophyta; Magnoliopsida; Brassicales; Brassicaceae.
AAGAAACAACAAGAAAA